GGAAAGGUGUCCGAGCGGUUUAAGGAACCGGUCUUGAAAACCGGCGGCGUGAGAGCGCCCGUGGGUUCGAAUCCCACCCUUUCCG
RNAcentral lists this transfer RNA (85 nucleotides) under Clostridiales bacterium. RNAcentral's name for it is "tRNA-Ser". It matches the Rfam family "tRNA". From Rfam's summary of the family: Transfer RNA (tRNA) molecules are approximately 80 nucleotides in length. Their secondary structure includes four short double-helical elements and three loops (D, anti-codon, and T loops). Further hydrogen bonds mediate the characteristic L-shaped molecular structure. tRNAs have two regions of fundamental functional importance: the anti-codon, which is responsible for specific mRNA codon recognition, and the 3' end, to which the tRNAs corresponding amino acid is attached (by aminoacyl-tRNA synthetases). tRNAs cope with the degeneracy of the genetic code in two manners: having more than one tRNA (with a specific anti-codon) for a particular amino acid; and 'wobble' base-pairing, i.e. permitting non-standard base-pairing at the 3rd anti-codon position. Lineage: Bacteria; Bacillati; Bacillota; Clostridia; Eubacteriales. The record is from RNAcentral.